UGUGAUGUAUGUGAUGCGGGUUCAUGUGUGCCCACAUGAACCAUAUGAUGCUAAUGUUUGCUUGUGAUGUGUACUGUUUUUCAAAAAACAGGAUGAGGGGAACUCGUCGAUCAGCAAGAUUGACUGGAGUACCACCUGAGGAUGAUGGCAUGAGCGCCCGUCCUCCAGCAUUGCCGAGGGCAAUGUCUAGUAGGUCUAGCAGAGAAAGAGCAGUAAGAGACCCUAGAAGGUCUCUGGAUCUGGGUAGAAGCAGAUCAGUCAGAGGAACAGUUC
This 273-nucleotide long non-coding RNA is filed under the name Manihot esculenta (cassava). Its description in RNAcentral is "long non-coding RNA (MESC_LNC011305)". The record is from RNAcentral. Lineage: Eukaryota; Viridiplantae; Streptophyta; Magnoliopsida; Malpighiales; Euphorbiaceae.